This 2361-nucleotide long non-coding RNA is filed under the name Coturnix japonica (Japanese quail). RNAcentral's name for it is "lncRNA (ENSCJPG00005012515.1)". The record is from RNAcentral. Lineage: Eukaryota; Metazoa; Chordata; Aves; Galliformes; Phasianidae.
GUCACGCAGUGGGCGGGGCUAUUCAAAUUAGGACCCGGCCCCGCCUCCCCUAACCCCGCGCGGCCCCUGGGUGAUUUGCAUAGAGGCGGGGCGCUCAUUUGCAUAGAGGCCGCGCUAUUUGGGUAUGCAUGAAGGCGCGCUCCCUCGUGGCGCCGCCCCGCGCGUUUCUCAUCCUCCCGCCGGCUCCUGGGGCGCUUCCGUGGCGUUGAGCGGCGCCGGUGUGUGGUCCGCCCGCCCGCCGCCACCCGGCCCUGCCCAGCCGCCCUCCCAGCGCCGGGACGGGGCCAGCUGGCAGCCAUUAGCGACCCCGUUCCCUCUCGCUGAUCUCUAUAAUCUUAUUAGUUUAAUGGGUCACGCAGCGCGGGGCCUAUUUCCUAUGGAUCAAAGGAAAGCAAACAGGGAUAUCCCCCCGGGCUUCCUCCACCCCCCGCUCGUCCCAGCUCCGGCCCCGUGCAUCGCACUGAGCUCGGAGCCCCCUGUUUGCACCGCGCGGUGCGUCCGAGCUCGAAUUUCGGGUGUCUUUUGCAAUAGGUUCCCCAGCAAAACCCACUCUUUGCAGCGGUGCGUUUUGACUCACGAAGCAUUUAAACCACUAAGGACCCGAGCUAUAGGAGGCCUGGGCGCAUUGCUCUGCGGUCACAGGGACCAUGACAAGCCUCACUGUGAGCCUGCGGCAAUGAUAGUGCAGAUGGGCAAAGAAAGGCCUGUGCUCCAGGCAUGCUCUGGCCUUGUUUCCAAACAGCUGAUAAGCAGCUUUCAUCAUCUUGCCUAUUGCUGGUGACUUUUCCUAAAGGUAACAUACUUUAGUUUGGACAUUGCAAGACUCAUUUGUUCUCCAGCAGCCACACCAAAUGACUCUUUCAGGCCAGACUUGUGAAUGAAAUCAAGGGAAUGGUAUUGACUUAGUCCGUUUGGGAUAUCUGUCCCACUGCAUUCUUUAUCUAUUUGCCAACAUAAAGCCUUGCAUGGAAACUCGUGCACAGCGCUGGGAUGGUUGAUGGAUAAACUGUGGAAAAAUGUUUCAUUUAUUUUUUGUGACAAUAAGGGAUUGGUCCCGUUCCUGUAUUUUCCUUAUGUAUUAAGUGGAAACUUGGAGCAAGAGGAGAUGAUUUUGUUAAGGUCAGAAGCCCCUCUCAUUGUGACCAGCUGUGGGGUUACUAACAGGAAUUCAUUUGGUAUGAAGAUUCUAGGCUUCGACUCCUGGAUGACAUGAGGGAUGAAGGUUGUGGUCGAUACCAAAGCUUUGAGCUGCAGGAACAGGGGAACAGUAUGGGAUAACAGUGUCCUGACACUUUUGGUUUGGUAAACAAAGAAGCCAUGUCUUGUGGGAAGCUGAUUUCUUGUAAUGGCACUCAGAAAAUGGUCUUUCAAGCCUGAAAUUUAGAGAUGUUUCUCCCUGGGCAGGUCAGAAGCAUCAGUAGGGAUUUAGGUAUGAAUCAGAUGUUCUGGGGAGACACUGAUCAUGGAAAGCAGCUAUCUAACAACCACCACCAUAAAACCUCCAAGGCUUUAUGUCUGUUUUAGGUCCUGGGGAUAGGACUAGGACAUACCAUCUAUCUUUGUGGAUAAGUAGGAGGAACUGUGCUUUCCUUGUGGAUGAGGAGUGCUGGGGACUGCAUUCCUGUACAUAUCCACAAGGAGGGAGAUAAAGUGGUCCGGAAUGAAAAGGGUCUUUCCAGUGGGUUCAGGGAGAAGCGUUUUCUUAUGCAACCUCCUGGAGGAGGGCUGCAAUCACCCCCCAGGCACUUCACCCAGCUGCUCUAAAAAGGAGGGAUGGCAGGGUGCUGGGGUGAAGAGAUGCAGAAAAGAAAGGGUGAUUUAUAAAAUAGGUGAUUUGGAGUUUAUCUCCAGAAGCUCAACUGAGGGCAGAAGUAAUUGAUGGUUACCACAUAAGCAAUAUGUCUAUUGAAAUUCUAUGCAGGUAGAAGAGCCAGACAGAGGACAAACUGCACCAUCAUCCCAGGGUCAGUGUUUUGUUCUGCCCGAUGAUAGAAGUUUCUGUCUUCCCUCUCACAUCGUGGCAGCUUGGGAACUGAAGACUUAUCCUGAAAACACUAGCAAAAAGUCUGUUUAAGUAGUGACUCACUCUUCCCCCCUGCCUCCCUCCGACAAGUCUCUGCUUGAAGGGUUUAUCCUAUAUUUCUUUAUCCAGGCUGAUUACAAAAUGCAGUGAUCCAUUGGAGUGUGUUUUGCCUCUGAAGUGAGCAAUCUCCAGCAUGGUAGGACUGCAGCGUAUCUCUGACAUGAACUUCCAGGUCUAAUGCAGCGUUAUACUCACGGGCUCCUGGGCAGAGCAGUUUUCCAAAGAGAUAGAAUGGGGAGAAACUUUAAAAUAAAUUAAAAUAACAAUUAAAAAAAAAC